Molecule: ribosomal RNA, 493 nt
Filed under: uncultured bacterium
Lineage: Bacteria
Description: bacterial SSU rRNA
Rfam family: Bacterial small subunit ribosomal RNA
Source: RNAcentral
AAAGGAAUUGACGGGGGCCCGCACAAGCGGAGGAACAUGUGGUUUAAUUCGAUGAUACGCGAGGAACCUUACCUGGGCUUAAAUGUAGAUUGCAUGUGGUGGAAACAUCCUUCCCUUCGGGGCUAUCUACAAGGUGCUGCAUGGUUGUCGUCAGCUCGUGCCGUGAGGUGUCGGGUUAAGUCCCAUAACGAGCGCAACCCUUAUCGUUAGUUGCCAUCAGGUCAUGCUGGGGACUCUAGCGAGACUGCCACCGUAAGGUGAGAGGAAGGUGGGGAUGACGUCAAAUCAGCACGGCCCUUAUGUCCAGGGCUACACACGUGUUACAAUGGCAGGUACAAAGGGCAGCUACACCGCGAGGUGAUGCUAAUCUCUAAAGCCUGUCCCAGUUCGGAUUGGAGUCUGAAACCCGACUCCAUGAAGUUGGAUUCGCUAGUAAUCGCGCAUCAGCCAUGGCGCGGUGAAUACGUUCCCGGGCCUUGUACACACCGCCCGU